Molecule: ribosomal RNA, 277 nt
Filed under: uncultured bacterium
Lineage: Bacteria
Description: partial 16S ribosomal RNA
Rfam family: Bacterial small subunit ribosomal RNA
Source: RNAcentral
GACGAACGCUGGCGGCGUGCUUAAUACAUGCAAGUCGAGCGGGCACCAUCCGGUGGCAACACUGGUGAAGUGCUAGCGGCGAACGGGUGAGUAACACGUGAGCAACCUGCCCCCAAGUUCGGGAUAAGCCUGGGAAACCGGGUCUAAUACCGGAUGCCCUCGUCGGGCUGCAUGGUCUGACGAGGAAAGUUGUUUCGCUUGGGGAGGGGCUCGCGGCCUAUCAGCUUGUUGGUGGGGUAACGGCCUACCAAGGCGUCGACGGGUAGCUGGUCUGAGA